Molecule: ribosomal RNA, 874 nt
Filed under: uncultured bacterium
Lineage: Bacteria
Description: bacterial SSU rRNA
Rfam family: Bacterial small subunit ribosomal RNA
Source: RNAcentral
AUUGAACGCUGGCGGAAUGCUUUACACAUGCAAGUCGAACGAUGAAGCCCAGCUUGCUAGGUGAAUUAGUGGCGGACGGGUGAGUAAUAUAUCGGAACAUGCCCAUUAAUGGGGGAUAACUAGCCGAAAGGUUAGCUAAUACCGCAUAACAUCUACGGAUUAAAGCUGGGGACCUUCGGGCCUGGCGUUAGUGGAGUGGCCGAUAUCUGAUUAGCUAGAUGGUGGGGUAAUGGCCUACCAUGGCGACGAUCAGUAACUGGUCUGAGAGGACGACCAGUCACACUGGGACUGAGACACGGCCCAGACUCCUACGGGAGGCAGCAGUGGGGAAUUUUGGACAAUGGGGGCAACCCUGAUCCAGCCAUUCCGCGUGAGUGAAGACGGCCUUCGGGUUGUAAAGCUCUUUCACAAGUAAAGAAACGGUACUUAUUAAUAGUGAGUGCUAAUGACGGUAACUUGAGAAGAAGCACCGGCUAACUACGUGCCAGCAGCCGCGGUAAUACGUAGGGUGCGAGCGUUAAUCGGAAUUACUGGGCGUAAAGCGUGCGCAGGCUGUUUGGUGAGUCAGAUGUGAAAUCCCCGAGCUCAACUUGGGAACUGCGUUUGAAACUGUCAGACUAGAAUAUGUCAGAGGGGGGUAGAAUUCCACGUGUAGCAGUGAAAUGCGUAGAGAUGUGGAGGAAUACCGAUGGCGAANGCAGCCCCCUGGGAUAAUAUUGACGCUCAUGCACGAAAGCGUGGGGAGCGAACAGGAUUAGACACCCUGGNAGUCCACGCCCUAAACGAUGUCUACUAGUUGUUGGUGGAGUAAAAUCCAUGAGUAACGUAGCUAACGCGUGAAGUAGANCGCCUGGGGAGUACGGGCGCAAGCUUA